AAAGUCCUUGAGUUAAGAGAGCUUUCAAAAUAUUCAACAAUUUAAGCACAACUCUCUUCCUCACCAAUCUCACUUAUUCCCAACUUUUUCCCCUUUUUCUUUUUCAUUGAGCUCCUCUUCAUGUUUUUCUUCUUUUCUUUUCUUUUUCUCAUGAAUUUUUCUUUUCACAACAUUCGAGCUCAAUGUUUCCCCCAUACAACCCCAAACUUGAACCUUUUCAUCAUAUACGAUUAAGCUCAUCCCAAC
Molecule: long non-coding RNA, 246 nt
Filed under: Vigna radiata
Lineage: Eukaryota; Viridiplantae; Streptophyta; Magnoliopsida; Fabales; Fabaceae
Description: long non-coding RNA (VRAD_LNC009260)
Source: RNAcentral